This 433-nucleotide ribosomal RNA is filed under the name uncultured bacterium. Its description in RNAcentral is "partial 16S ribosomal RNA". It matches the Rfam family "Bacterial small subunit ribosomal RNA", at positions 29 to 507 of the family's 1533-position model. The record is from RNAcentral.
AACGAACGCUGGCGGCAUGCCUAACACAUGCAAGUCGAACGAAACCUUCGGGUCUUGUGUCGCCCGGGUGCGUAACGCGUGGGAAUCUACCCUCAGGUUCGGCAUAACUCAGAGAAUUUUGUGCUAUUACCGGAUGAUGACGUAUGUCCAAAGAUUUAUCGCCUGAGAAUGAGCCCGCGUAGGAUUAGGUAGUUGUGGAGGUAAUGGCUCACCAAGCCGCCGAUCCUUAGCUGGUCAGAGAGGAAGCUCAGCCACACUGGGACUGGGACACGGCCCAGACUCCUACGGGAGGCAGCAGUGGGGAAUAGUGGACAAUGGGGUAAAGCAUGAUCCAGCAAUGCCGCGUGAGUGAUGAAGGCAUUAGGGUUGUAAAGCUCUUUUACCCGGGAUGAUAAUGACAGUACCGGGAGAAUAAGCCCCGGCUAACUCCGUG